CUCGAGAAUCCCACAGACGGGGGAGCCUGGCAGGCUACAGUCCAUGAGGUGUGCCCCUGACUUGACUGCAUUAAUAACCCACUCCUCCCGCCGGUUCCAUAAACACAGGGGCGGCAGCCAGGGCAGGAACGAGCACGUCAGGAACUUCGGCUGCUCCGAUUUGUUGAAUAAACAGAGUGGAAGGUGUUGCAUAGAUGAAUCAACACCUACGUCUGAAGCCGCCCCCGCUGCUGUCGAUUUGCAUAAGUGGGCGAGAGAGACCCUCCCAACGGUGACCUGCAGCCUCGUUGUACGGGGACCAUGGGCUGAGUGCCAGCCGUGUUCCUGGAGGGGCCAAGUGUCCGGCCAGCAUUAUCUGCCCAGUGAGUCUUCAUUCCAAACCUCUGGCCACCAGAUGUGAAGAACUGACUCAUUGGAAAAGACCCUGAUGCUGGGAAAGAUUGAAGGUAGGAGGAGAAGGGGACGACAGAGGAUGAGAUGGUUGGAUGGCAUCACCAACGUGAUGGACGUGAGUUUGAGCAAACCUGGGAGUGAGUGAUGGACAGGGAGG
RNAcentral lists this long non-coding RNA (550 nucleotides) under Capra hircus (goat). Its description in RNAcentral is "lncRNA (ENSCHIG00000003857.1)". Lineage: Eukaryota; Metazoa; Chordata; Mammalia; Artiodactyla; Bovidae. The record is from RNAcentral.